CAUUUGCCCGCCAUUUGUGAAGUCCGACGAUAAAUGAUAUCCCAAACGGUCUGCUAGUCUUUGGAGAAGAAAGAACCCUAGGAACCUCUCGACCUCCUUAGAAAGCUUCUUCCUCUGUACGAAAAUGGCGUCUCUGCUUCACUCUCCGUCUCCUCGGACCUCUCUCCUCCCGCCGAACCUCUUGCGCUCGCGCUCUUCAAUCCUUCCCCCUUCUCGAUUCCGGACCACCGUCAGGUGUGAUAUGGUGGAGCCUUUGAAGUACGUGAACGGAAAGCCGCUUCUCGGCGGCGGCGAGGCGACGCUGCCGAACAUUUUGGCGCCUAGAACGAAUUUGGAGAAUGUUGUUAACAAGAACGACACCAGGCUCCGAAUCUUCUCUGGCACCGCCAAUCCUGCCCUUUCGCAGGAAAUUGCAUGCUACAUGGGUCUAGAACUUGGAAAGAUCAAGAUAAAACGCUUUGCUGAUGGAGAGAUAUAUGUUCAAUUGCAAGAAAGCGUCCGGGGGUGUGAUGUAUUUCUUGUACAACCCACAUGCCCUCCUGCAAACGAAAAUCUCAUGGAGCUUCUGAUCAUGAUAGACGCUUGUCGGAGGGCAUCGGCCAAAAAUAUUACUGCAGCAAUUCCAUAUUUUGGAUAUGCCAGGGCUGAUAGAAAGACACAAGGACGUGAAUCUAUUGCAGCCAAACUUGUUGCAAAUUUGAUAACAGAAGCAGGUGCAAAUCGAGUUCUUGCUUGUGAUCUUCAUUCCGGACAAUCCAUGGGCUAUUUUGAUAUUCCUGUUGAUCAUGUAUAUGGUCAGCCUGUGAUACUCGAUUACCUUGCUAGCAAGACUAUAUGUUCUGAUGAUUUGGUAGUGGUCUCACCUGAUGUUGGGGGAGUUGCUAGAGCACGUGCUUUUGCCAAAAAGUUAUCUGAUGCUCCUCUAGCCAUUGUGGAUAAAAGGCGCCAUGGGCAUAAUGUUGCUGAGGUGAUGAAUUUGAUAGGUGACGUGAAGGGAAAAGUGGCAGUAAUGGUGGAUGACAUGAUCGACACUGCUGGUACUAUUUCAAAAGGUGCAGCUUUAUUGCAUCAAGAAGGCGCCAGGGAAGUGUAUGCAUGCACUACACAUGCUGUUUUUAGUCCUCCUGCGAUAGAGAGGUUGUCAAGCGGUUUGUUUCAAGAGGUGAUCAUAACAAAUACCAUUCCGGUGUCAGAGCAGAACUAUUUUCCCCAGCUAACCAUUUUGUCAGUGGCAAAUCUACUUGGCGAGACAAUAUGGCGUGUUCAUGACGACUGUUCUGGUGGCUUUGAACCAUAUUCCACCUUGGGCAUUGACUGAUUUAUUCAUGAUGGUGGUGUGCCCCUCCCUGCGUCCGUUCUGCAAUUAGCUACUUUGUUGAGUACGAUGUUGUCAGUAGCAAAACCAAAAGCUUUCUAGAAAGACCCUGCUCUUUGCUGGUUGUUUCAGAACUCUGUACAAUUUUGGUAAUGAUGGAGACUCUUUUAAGUAGGAAUAUACUUUCACAUAGGUUGUGAUCACUGUUGCCCCGUUGGAGAAAACAGAGCUAACUCAUGGAAGUUCUUCUCCGUCUGUUCUAUUCCAAGUCACACAGAGGAUACAGGCUUCAGAAACUUAAAAGGUGAAGAACCGACUUGCAGCAACAGCAGUCACUAGUUUGACACGGCAACUAUAAACUUGUAGAUAACGUUAUACUGCGGAACCUGGCUGAUUAGCUAGACCGACUCCAUUUGCAUACCAACGCCACUUGUUGCAAUUUAACUGGUGCUUUUACGCGAUGAUUGAGCUGAUAAGAAUUGAGCUGAUGUCAGUGAAUGAUGCUGAUAUGCUGCAAAUGUUAACGUCAAUGCGCUGGAGGCAUACAAAGAGCGAAGACAGUGAUAUCAGUUAGUAGAAGCGUUGAUACUAACUUCUCUUUUACUUCCGUUCUCUCAUUGUUGUGGAACUUGUCAUGCAUGCAUCCGUUAUCCUUUCAAGCGAAUGCUAUAGUGUUUGAUAUGAUGUGGCUAGAAAUAUGUCAUGUCGAAAUUCCUCUGAAGGAUAAUAACUCUUCUAUGGGCUAGAUGCAUUAAGUUAACUAAAUCUGCCAGAGAUGUUAGAUCCUCCAAACAUAUAUUAAAACGUGCCACAAAAAAAAGUACGAAUUUUC
Molecule: RNA transcript, 2147 nt
Organism: Morus notabilis
Lineage: Eukaryota; Viridiplantae; Streptophyta; Magnoliopsida; Rosales; Moraceae
Gene name: ribose-phosphate pyrophosphokinase 1
Exons: 10
Source: RefSeq, a predicted model, not a curated record